This 467-nucleotide ribosomal RNA is filed under the name uncultured bacterium. Its description in RNAcentral is "partial 16S ribosomal RNA". It matches the Rfam family "Bacterial small subunit ribosomal RNA", at positions 28 to 507 of the family's 1533-position model. The record is from RNAcentral.
GACGAACGCUGGCGGCGUGCUUAACACAUGCAAGUCGAACGGAAAGGCCCUGCUUUUGUGGGGUGCUCGAGUGGCGAACGGGUGAGUAACACGUGAGUAACCUGCCCUUGACUUUGGGAUAACUUCAGGAAACUGGGGCUAAUACCGGAUAGGAGCUCCUGCUGCAUGGUGGGGGUUGGAAAGUUUCGGCGGUUGGGGAUGUACUCGCGGCUUAUCAGCUUGUUGGUGGGGUAGUGGCUUACCAAGGCUUUGACGGGUAGCCGGCCUGAGAGGGUGACCGGCCACAUUGGGCCUGGGAUACGGCCAGGACUCCUUCGGGCGGCAGCGGUGGAGACUAUAGCACAAUGGGCGGAGCCUGUUGCGGAAACGCCGCGUGCGGGAUGACGGCCUUCGGGUUGUAAACAGCUUUCGACUGUGACGAAGCGUGAGUGACGGUAAUGGGUAAAGAAGCACCGGCUAACUACGUG